Molecule: long non-coding RNA, 1371 nt
Organism: Pteronotus mesoamericanus
Lineage: Eukaryota; Metazoa; Chordata; Mammalia; Chiroptera; Mormoopidae
Exons: 3
Source: RefSeq, a predicted model, not a curated record
AGGUGAAGCUGAGAGAUUGGAGAAAUGAGACACCACCUGAGACACCGCCUGAGACACUGGCCUCCCAGGGUGGCUGUGGCCCCAGGGGGUUUAACAACUGCUUGCUUGUAACCUUCUCCAUCCCAAGUUGGGAGACAGGACAGAGGAAAUGAAGCUUCAGUGUGGCCAGGCUGCCCAUUGUGGUGGACGAGGACAUUGGGAUUCCCCAUUUCAGGGGUGUGUGUUCAUGCAACAGGUUGGAUGAACAGGAAAGAAUUGAAAUUAUGGAGCAGCCCCUCAGUCAGCCUGCUGAGAAACUGCUUAAAGGACAGACAAGCAGAUGCAGGCUUUGAGGUCAUGUCAAACAAAAGAAAGAAGAGGCUUCAAAUUCUCCAGUGUGUGAAUGGGUUUAUUUUAUGGAAUGCAGUAGAACAAGAGCUGCUGGUGAACUGUUUUAAAGAAUGUGGAACUAGUAAUGUUCUUGGCAACCUUGGCACAACUUAUUGUUGGAAGAUGGCUUUGGCUUAGUUUCUCAUGUAGUAAAAGCAAACAAUUAAGGGAGCCAUCUAAAACCAUUUCUAGAAUAGCAGAAAUGGCUUUAGGCUUUGAGAGUAAUAUUUCUUUAAGUUUUGAGGAUUAACAUUGAAACCUUUGUGAUACUUAAAAACAAUGUUUACAACAAUUAGGUAGCCAUUAUUCAUUGGAUUCCUGGUUUCCAUAAUCACUUUUCCCAUUUUAUCCUGUUACUUAAUGUAUAUUAAUAUUCAGUAAGGUAUUUGCCUUUAUAUAUAAACAUGAUAUUAGAAUCUUCUCAGAUUUAUUAAUUUUCCUGUUUAUUUGUUCUAUUUUAAAAAAUUAAAUGGUUUUAUUUUGACAUAACUGUGAGUUCACAUGCAGUUGUAAGAAAUGCUACAGAGAGAUCCUCUGUACCCCUUACCAGUUUUCUCCAGUACUAACAUCUUGCAAAACUAAAGUACCAUAUUCUAGCCAGGGUGUUGACAUUGAUGCAGUGAAGAUACAAGAUGCUUCCAUCACCACAUAGAUCCUUCAUGAGGCUUUUAUACCACAUCCUCUUCCCUCCCUGACCCCACUCCCUUUAAUCCCUGUCAUCCACUAAUCUGGUCUAUAUUUCUAUAAUUUUAUCAUUUCAAUAAUAUGUGAUAUAUGUUUCAAUAAUAUGAUAUAUGUGAAAUCAUAAAAUUUGCAACCUUUUGGGACUGGCUGUUUUCAUGCAGCAUAAUUUCCUGGAGAUUCACCCAAGUGCUUGCAUGAAUCAAUAGUUCAUUCCUUUUGAUUACUGAGUGGUAUACAAUGUGAUAUGGAUGGCCAUAGUUUAACUAUUCACCUUGAUGGACAUGUGGGUCAUUUCCAGUUUUAGAUUAUUAUAAAUAA